Raphanus sativus (radish) is the source of this 1647-nucleotide long non-coding RNA. RefSeq lists it as uncharacterized. The transcript has 4 exons. The record is from RefSeq and is a predicted model, not a curated record. NCBI's taxonomy places the organism in Eukaryota, Viridiplantae, Streptophyta, Magnoliopsida, Brassicales, Brassicaceae.
CUGCUUCGUAGAUCCGCUGUGUUCGAGCUCCGUCGCCGCUUGUACCGGGGUUUCAUUCGAGCGAGAAGAAAAGGAAGAAGAUGGAUUUGGUCCACAGACACGGGAAGAGACAACCUGCCUCUUGAGCUUCCAAUCUAAGGAGACAUAGGAGAUGGAGACAGAGAGAAGCAGAAGUAGAGCUGGAGAAAACAUAGUUGGAGUUUCAGACUCAAAACGAGAGAAGCCAGAAGAGCAAGGUAUUUGGAUGGACAAGAGGAACUCAGGUACUCCGAGAGUCUGUCUUGAACAAAACUCUUUACUUUUCUUUAAAGCUUAACAAGUUCUUCUUACCUUCUUGUUUGCGGUAUAAGAGUUUUUGAUGUUUCUGAAGUUAAAGAAGUGAAACAUAAAGUAGAAGAAGAAGACAAACAUGGAGAUGAUUAUGAACUGGAUCUACUCUACCUUGUACAUUCUUGCUUACUUCUUCACCAGGUCCUUGCUUACUUCCUGCUCUUGUCUUGAGAAUUCUUAUCUCUUUUCUAUUAGUUAAAGAACCAUGUCUGAAUAAUGAGUUUCAUAGAAUAGUGAUUUUCUUUUUUUUUUGAAUCUCAGGAAGAAAAAUCUCAAGAAAAGUCUUUGUAUUAUAUUCUUUUGUAAAACAUAGAUGUUAAUGAUACUCCUUUAUCCUGUUUUUUUUUUGUUCAUCUUUUAGUAAUCAUGUUGUUCCGUUACGUUGUCAUAUAUGUUUUCCAAAUUUUUUAUUAUUUAUAUUAUAGUGCUUUGAGCUUUGAAACCUUAUCACCAUUAUGGUGAACAAAGAGGUUUGACAGGCAGAUUAGUUAACUUACUAUGCGUGCCAGUGGAUGCUACUUUAGUUGUUGAUAUCAACAUAUUCUAAGCACUCUGUUGUUUGAAACUAAUCAGAUAUUUUCAGCAUUCUUUCUUUGUAUACUUAGUAGCUGCUUGUAUUUAUUUACUUUUUUCAUCUUAUUGUUUUAUGGCAUACAGUAAGCUUGACGGUGGAUUUGUGCUAUGUGCUGAUUGCAGGAGACAGGGGUGAUGGAGAUGGAGAGAAAAGAAGGGUGUCUCUAUAUUUUCAGGAAGAGGAAGAUGAGAAUGACAAAGUGACUGUAGGCAAAUAACUCAGAGCCGUGUAUCAGAGAGAAAUUAUGAAUAUACACAGAUCUUGACAUUGUUAUGAAGAAGCUUUGUUGAUUUCUCAAGACCUGUUCGUUCAAUUGCCUUAAAGAAUCAGGUCAGCUUUGUGUUGCUGUUGGUGCUCUGUUAGUAACUACCAUCUUCUUCUUCUCUAGCAAGUUUCUAACUUGCUGCAAAUUUACUAAGUCCUCGUGUUCAAGGGCUAGAUUCUGAGCUUGGUGUUGACGGUUUUCUCUCAUAUGUUAUGAAGUAAGAAUGACUGCUGCUACGGGUGGAGUACUGUCAAUGUCUACAGAAACCUUGCUGCAACGUAAGAAAGGGUGCUAAGAACGGAUCAUUUGAUGUGGAGUAAGAACUGCAUCAUCUUCUCUUUUUUUUUCUUUGCAAAUGAGACUUGUGUUCUUCGUUUGAGAUUUGUAACUUCGAAUUGUAUCUCCCUUGGAAUUAUGACAAGAAUGUUGUGUGGGAUAAUAUAUUUUCUAUUAUGGAAUACAAUUUCAGCUUCAUUAC